Molecule: long non-coding RNA, 598 nt
Organism: Brassica oleracea var. oleracea
Lineage: Eukaryota; Viridiplantae; Streptophyta; Magnoliopsida; Brassicales; Brassicaceae
Exons: 3
Source: RefSeq, a predicted model, not a curated record
UCGUCCCAAGGUACGAUUCUUCUUUAAUUUUUCCUUUAAUUCUUCUUCUUCUUCCUCUUUAAUAAUUCAAAAUCGAUUUAGGGUUAAUUGCUCAUUUCAAUCUCGGCGUUUUUGGGGAAAUUAAUCAAUAGUGAACAGAUCUAUGGAUUUAUGCCGUGUACUAAGAGGGUGCUUGUAAACGUGUUUCUGAGUUUGAUUUAUGGAUUUAUCGUGUACUAAGACAUCACUCGGACUCUCUGGGAAGACCUAUCAACUCAGAAAAGCCGUGUCUCCUUGCACAGUAAAUGAUUCAUUGUUAAAGGUAAACCAUAAAACUCAGUAUUAAAAUUCCAGAAACCAUCCAUGGAUCCAAAGGAGACAACUUGCUUUUGCCAAGCACAAGCAUGUUAUAUCAGGAAUCUUAAGUGAACUUGAAAGAAUAUGAUUUGGGAAGGCUUCUUGAUGAUGAAAGUCAGCCUGAUGAACAUGUCACUCCAAAUUUUCAGGUGCGUCUAAGAAUGUUUGUUCAAACCAAGAAGAAAGAUGAUGCAUUUUGAUAAACACCCAAGGCACGAUGUUGACAAGUCUUUAUUUCUCGCUAGAACUUUUGUUUGGAAAA